UCAUCACCGUCAUCACCCAAAAUAGUCUUUCGGGGAGGUGAGCGCGUACCCGGGAGAUUGAACUCCCGGAGGUGAAUGCAACGAAUUAGAUUCAAACCCUCGGGAAGCAAACCCCGAGGGUUUUUUUGU
RNAcentral lists this small RNA (129 nucleotides) under Vibrio marisflavi. Its description in RNAcentral is "His_leader". It matches the Rfam family "Histidine operon leader". From Rfam's summary of the family: At least 6 amino acid operons are known to be regulated by attenuation. In each a leader sequence of 150-200 bp is found upstream of the first gene in the operon. The record is from RNAcentral. Lineage: Bacteria; Pseudomonadati; Pseudomonadota; Gammaproteobacteria; Vibrionales; Vibrionaceae.